This 446-nucleotide ribosomal RNA is filed under the name uncultured bacterium. RNAcentral's name for it is "SSU rRNA". It matches the Rfam family "Bacterial small subunit ribosomal RNA", at positions 26 to 518 of the family's 1533-position model. The record is from RNAcentral.
AGAACGAACGCUGGCGGCAUGCCUAACACAUGCAAGUCGAACGAGACCUUCGGGUCUAGUGGCGCACGGGUGCGUAACGCGUGGGAAUCUGCCCUUAGGUACGGAAUAACAGUGAGAAAUUACUGCUAAUACCGUAUGAUGUCUUCGGACCAAAGAUUUAUCGCCUAGGGAUGAGCCCGCGUAGGAUUAGCUAGUUGGUGGGGUAAAGGCCUACCAAGGCGACGAUCCUUAGCUGGUCUGAGAGGAUGAUCAGCCACACUGGGACUGAGACACGGCCCAGACUCCUACGGGAGGCAGCAGUGGGGAAUAUUGGACAAUGGGCGAAAGCCUGAUCCAGCAAUGCCGCGUGAGUGAAGAAGGCCUUCGGGUUGUAAAGCUCGUUUUACCCGGGAAGAUAAUGACUGUACCGGGAGAAUAAGCCCGGCUAACUCCGCGCCAGCAGCCGC